CCUACGGGGGACAGCAGUGGGGAAUCUUGGGCAAUGGGCGCAAGCCUGACCCAGCAACGCCGCGUGAAGGCAGAAGGCUUUCGGGUUGUACACUUCUUUUCUGAGGGACGAAGAAAGUGACGGUACCUCAGGAAUAAGCCACGGCUAACUACGUGCCAGAAGCCGCGGUAAUACGUAGGAGGCAAGCGUUAUCCGGAUUUAUUGGGGGUAAAGGGCGUGUAGGCGGGAAAGCAAGUCAGAUGUGAAAACUCAGGGCUCAACCCUGAGCCUGCAUUUGAAACUGUUGUUCUUGAGUGCUGGAGAGGCAAUCGGAAUUCCGAGUGUAGCGGUGAAAUGCGUAGAUAUACGGAGGAACACCAGUGGCGAAGGCGGAUUGCUGGACAGUAACUGACGCUGAGGCGCGAAAGCGUGGGGAGCAAACAGGAUUAGAUACCCUUGUAGUC
Molecule: ribosomal RNA, 443 nt
Filed under: uncultured bacterium
Lineage: Bacteria
Description: partial 16S ribosomal RNA
Rfam family: Bacterial small subunit ribosomal RNA
Source: RNAcentral